UCGGGCGCGUGGCCGUGACGUCACAGGCGUCGUUUAAAUGCCCCGGAGCUCACCGGGGGAGAAGACAUUUAGCAGGCAGAGUGAAGGAGAGCAAAGUAGCUGUCAACACUCAACACACGGACUGCUCCACUCCUGCUCCACAACACUUGCCGACAAUGUUCCGCAGCAUUAAGGUGUUCGUGUUGUGUCACGGGCUGCUGCAGUUCUCCCAGCUGCUCUACAGCUCCUACUUCAAGAGCACCAUCAGCACCAUCGAGCGGCGCUACGGCCUCAGCAGCUACUCCUCGGGGACCAUCUCCUCCCUGCACGAGGUGAGCAACAGCCUGCUGAUCGUCUUCCUCAGCUACUUUGGCAACCGCCUUCACCGCCCUCGCGUCAUCGGGAUUGGCGGCGUGUUGAUGGCCGUCAGCGCCUUGAUCCUGACCUUGCCUCACUUCCUGUCCCAGCCCUACGACUACGACUCUCUCCUGCUGAACGGACUGGACGUCUGCGACCCGCACAGGAACUCCAGCGCCUCCGAGUCCUGCGGCCGCGACGAGAGCCGGCGCCUGGCCGACACCAAGACCCUGUGGCUCUUCAUGGCCGCCGCACAGCUGCUGUUCGGGGUGGGCUCGGUGCCCAUCCAGCCCUUCGGCAUCUCCUACAUCGACGACUUUGCCGCAGCCGGGAACUCUCCGCUCUACAUCGCCAUCUUGUUUGCUGUGUCCGUGUUCGGGCCGGCCAUGGGCUUCCUGCUGGGCUCGGUCAUGCUGCGGGUCUACGUGGACGUGGACAAAGGGGGUUUAGGGGCCCAGCAGGGGCUGAGGCCGGGAGACCCCCGCUGGGUGGGAGCCUGGUGGAUGGGCCUGCUCAUCACCUCCGCCUGCCUGGCGCUCACCUGCAUCCCCUACUUCUUCUUCCCUCGCAGGAUGCCUUCAGGGGAGCAUAUGAUCGAGAGUGGAUCCAACGCGAGCGACGACUUCAAGAAGCCUCACGUGUCUUUAUGCGACUUCUUGAAGAUGUUUCCCAGGAUGUUCUUCCACCUCCUGCUGAGCCCGCUCUUCCUCCUCCUGGUCUUGGCGCAGUGCUGCUUCUCCUCCGUCAUCGCCGGCCUCUCCACCUUCCUCAAAAAGUUCCUGGAGCGCCAAUACAGCGCCUCCACCGCCGACAGCAGUCUGCUCGUAGGUGCUGUGAACCUUCCGGCAGUGGCGGUGGGGAUGCUGAUUGGCGGUGUCAUCAUGAAGAAGACGGGAAUGUCUCUGAAGAACAUUCCACGCUUCUGCGUGGUCCUGUUGACCAUGUCCACCCUCCUCUUCAUCCCGCUCUUCUUCAUGGGCUGCUCCACGCAGAGAGUCUCCGAGGUCAAUCACUACCAAGUCGGGCGGCACGGGUCUCCGUCCAUGUGUUACGCCAACUGCUCGUGUCCCGCCGGCGCCUUCAACCCGGUGUGCGGCUCCGAUGGCGUGGAGUACAUCUCCCCGUGUCACGCGGGCUGCACCCACUUCACCAAAAACCCCAACCACACACACCUGGUCCAGCUUUACACCGACUGCAGGUGCAUACCCGGCAGCCAGAGCCACGCCAGGCCAGCGCCGUGUCCCAACAACUGUCCUCACUUCCUGCUGCCCGUCAUCCUGGUGGUCUCUGCGGGGGCGCUGAUGGCCUGCCUCACCCACAACCCCAUGUACAUGAUGCUGCUCAGGAGCGUACCAUCUGAAGAGAAGUCCUUUGCCAUCGGCGUUCAGUUCCUACUCCUGAGGCUUUUGGCCUGGCUUCCUGCGCCGGCUCUCUUCGGCAUGGCCAUCGACACCUCCUGCGUCUGGUGGAAGCGCGUGUGCGGCAGGAAGUUCAGCUGCGGUUACUACGACAACGACAUGUUGAGGAGCAGGUUCCUGGGCUUACAGGUGGGCUACAAGGUGAUGGGUGUGGUGCUGCUGGCCAUUCUGGGCUGGAAGGUGCAGCGGACUCAGGAGUACAGUCUGGAGAAGAGGCCUGACGGAGUGCUGUGAGGAACACCUCAGCUUCUGCAGGACUCACUCCAAUAGCUUUCUUCCCUACUUCCUGUCAGUACAGGCCAAAAGUUUGGACACACCUUCUCAUUGACAACACAACUGAUGGUCCCAACCCCAUUCAUAAAGCAAGACAUUCCUCUAAUCAACCCUGAUAAGGCACACCUGUGAAGUGAAAACCGUUUCAGGUGACUACCUCUUGAAGCUCAUGGAGAGAAAAAAAUAUAUAUAUGUGUGUGUAUGUAUGCUAUCCGUUAGUGGUGUUUUUAAAAAAUGUCAUUUUAAGUGGAUCCUGCACCUUCUUGCAUGUGUGAGGAAGUCUAACAUCUGACGUUUUUACAUCCUUGUACAGACUUUCAGUUAUUUAUGUACAUAUUUGUUUUAUUUUUUAUCACAUUUUUUUGUUGAGAUUUACCAAUAAAGCACACUUUUGCA
Molecule: non-coding RNA, 2423 nt
Organism: Nerophis lumbriciformis (worm pipefish)
Lineage: Eukaryota; Metazoa; Chordata; Actinopteri; Syngnathiformes; Syngnathidae
Source: RefSeq, a predicted model, not a curated record